GACGAACGCUGGCGGCGUGCUUAACACAUGCAAGUCGAACGGAAAGGCCCUGCUUUUGUGGGGUGCUCGAGUGGCGAACGGGUGAGUAACACGUGAGUAACCUGCCCUUGACUUUGGGAUAACUUCAGGAAACUGGGGCUAAUACCGGAUAGGAGCUCCUGCUGCAUGGUGGGGGUUGGAAAGUUUCGGCGGUUGGGGAUGGACUCGCGGCUUAUCAGCUUGUUGGUGGGGUAGUGGCUUACCAAGGCUUUGACGGGUAGCCGGCCUGAGAGGGUGACCGGCCACAUUGGGACUGAGAUACGGCCCAGACUCCUACGGGAGGCAGCAGUGGGGAAUAUUGCACAAUGGGCGGAAGCCUGAUGCAGCAACGCCGCGUGCGGGAUGACGGCCUUCGGGUUGUAAACCGCUUUCGCCUGUGACGAAGCGUGAGUGACGGUAAUGGGUAAAGAAGCACCGGCUAACUACGUGCCAGCAGCCGCGGUGAUACGUAGGGUGCGAGCGUUGUCCGGAUUUAUUGGGCGUAAAGGGCUCGUAGGUGGUUGAUCGCGUCGGAAGUGUAAUCUUGGGGCUUAACCCUGAGCGUGCUUUCGAUACGGGUUGACUUGAGGAAGGUAGGGGAGAAUGGAAUUCCUGGUGGAGCGGUGGAAUGCGCAGAUAUCAGGAGGAACACCAGUGGCGAAGGCGGUUCUCUGGGCCUUUCCUGACGCUGAGGAGCGAAAGCGUGGGGAGCGAACAGGCUUAGAUACCCUGGUAGUCCACGCUGUAAACGGUGGGUACUAGGUGUGGGGUCCAUUCCACGGGUUCCGUGCCGUAGCUAACGCUUUAAGUACCCCGCCUGGGGAGUACGGCCGCAAGGCUAAAACUCGAAGGAAUUGACGGGGCCCCGCACAAGCGGCGGAGCAUGCGGAUUAAUUCGAUGCAACGCGUAGAACCUUACCUGGGUUUGACAUGGAUCGGGAGUGCUCAGAGAUGGGUGUGCCUCUUUUGGGGUCGGUUCACAGGUGGUGCAUGCCUGUCGUCAGCUCGUGUCGUGAGAUGUUGGGUUAAGUCCCGCAACGAGCGCAACCCUUGUUCACUGUUGCCAGCACGUUAUGGUGGGGACUCAGUGGAGACCGCCGGGGUCAACUCGGAGGAAGGUGGGGAUGACGUCAAGUCAUCAUGCCCCUUAUGUCCAGGGCUUCACGCAUGCUACAAUGGCUGGUACAGAGAGUGGCGAGCCUGUGAGGGUGAGCGAAUCUCGGAAAGCCGGUCUCAGUUCGGAUUGGGGUCUGCAACUCGACCUCAUGAAGUCGGAGUCGCUAGUAAUCGCAAAUCAGCAACGCUGCGGUGAAUACGUUCCCGGG
Molecule: ribosomal RNA, 1343 nt
Filed under: uncultured bacterium
Lineage: Bacteria
Description: 16S ribosomal RNA
Rfam family: Bacterial small subunit ribosomal RNA
Source: RNAcentral